UACGGGGGGGGCAAGCGUUGUUCGGAAUUACUGGGCGUAAAGGGUUCGUAGGUGGCUUGCUAAGUCAGACGUGAAAUCCCUCAGCUUAACUGGGGAACUGCGUCUGAGACUGGUGAGCUUGAGUGCAGGAGAGGAACGCGGAAUUCCAGGUGUAGCGGUGAAAUGCGUAGAUAUCUGGAGGAACACCGGUGGCGAAGGCGGCAUCCUGGACCGAUACUGACGCUGAGGAGCGAAAGCCAGGGGAGCAAACGGG
This 253-nucleotide ribosomal RNA is filed under the name uncultured bacterium. Its description in RNAcentral is "partial 16S ribosomal RNA". It matches the Rfam family "Bacterial small subunit ribosomal RNA", at positions 524 to 776 of the family's 1533-position model. The record is from RNAcentral.